This 484-nucleotide ribosomal RNA is filed under the name uncultured bacterium. Its description in RNAcentral is "partial 16S ribosomal RNA". It matches the Rfam family "Bacterial small subunit ribosomal RNA", at positions 30 to 507 of the family's 1533-position model. The record is from RNAcentral.
AUUGAACGCUGGCGGCAGGCCUAACACAUGCAAGUCGAGCGGAUGAAGGGAGCUUGCUCCUGGAUUCAGCGGCGGACGGGUGAGUAAUGCCUAGGAAUCUGCCUGGUAGUGGGGGAUAACGUCCGGAAACGGGCGCUAAUACCGCAUACGUCCUGAGGGAGAAAGUGGGGGAUCUUCGGACCUCACGCUAUCAGAUGAGCCUAGGUCGGAUUAGAUAGUUGGUGGGGUAAAGGCCUACCAAGGCGACGAUCCGUAACUGGUCUGAGAGGAUGAUCAGUCACACUGGAACUGAGACACGCUCCAGACUCCUACGGGAGGCAGCAGUGGGGAAUAUUGGACAAUGGGCGAAAGCCUGAUCCAGCCAUGCCGCGUGUGUGAAGAAGGUCUUCGGAUUGUAAAGCACUUUAAGUUGGGAGGAAGGGCAGUAAGUUAAUACCUUGCUGUUUUGACGUUACCAACAGAAUAAGCACCGGCUAACUUCGUG